RNA transcript from Arachis duranensis, 2861 nucleotides. RefSeq lists it as uncharacterized. The transcript has 3 exons. NCBI's taxonomy places the organism in Eukaryota, Viridiplantae, Streptophyta, Magnoliopsida, Fabales, Fabaceae. The record is from RefSeq and is a predicted model, not a curated record.
CUUUGUACCGAAAAAAAAAAACAUUAAAAAAGGGAUUAGAUUAGUUGACAACUUUCCAGAUUAGGGUUUGAGUCUCCCCGACUCUUCUCUUCUUCUUCAACACACUGCGCAUGCUCUCUCUUCUUUGCACUCUCUGAUUUCAAGAUAACUCAAGAAUGGAGGAAGGCGAAGGCGGGGAUCCCAUGGAUCAGUUCCACCGUAACGAGGCUAUAUCCGCCGUCGCCGACGAGGGUUUCUUGGGCGAGGAAGACGACGACUACGAGGACCUUUACAACGACGUCAAUGUCGGUGAGGGCUUCCUCCAAUCGCUGCGUAAAAACGACGAUCUAGCGUUUCGAAACGACGAUGCCGUUCAGGACAACAGCAAGAAGCCCCAACAAGAAGCUGUCGCUGGGGUUUCGAUUCCUGGUGUAGGUGGUGGUGGUGAGGGACCCGGUGGUGGUGGUGGUGGUGGGGCUGUGGAUGGUGCUUCUAGGGUUUCUGGGUUUCAGAAUCAGGGGUUUAGAGGGAAUGAUUUGGGUGCAAAACAAGGUACUGGUGGAUCUGGAAUUAGGGUUGAGUUGGGUCAGCCAUCUGGGAAAGUGAGUGAAAUUGAGGAUCGGAGUGGAAAUGGUGCUGGUGUUGGUGGUGGUGGUGCUGCUGCGGUGCAAGGGAUUGGACAGCAGCCUCAUGGUGGUGGUGGUGGUGUUGUGGGCUCCGUUGGGAAUGAGGGUUUGGCCAGGCAAAGUGGUGGUGGCGGUGUUGGAGUUGCAGCUGGAGGAGAUGUUAAUAGGAUUGGUGGGAAUGGGAUCGGGAACAGUGUGGGUGUAGUUAAUACUAUUAACACUGGUGGACCUGGACCUGGACCUGGACCUGGUGGUCCGGUGGGUGCUGGCAGUGCUGUUGCUCCUGGUGGUGGCGGCGGCGGUGGAGGUACCAUAUUGUUUGUGGGUGAUUUGCAUUGGUGGACUACCGAUGCUGAACUGGAGGCUGAGCUCUGUAAGUACGGCCCUCUCAAGGAGGUGAAGUUUUUCGAUGAGAAAGCUAGUGGGAAAUCUAAAGGGUAUUGCCAGGUUGAAUUUUUUGAUCCUGCAGCUGCCACUGCCUGUAAGGAAGGCAUGAAUGGGCAUAUGUUUAAUGGAAGGCCUUGUGUUGUUGCCUAUGCUUCGCCUUUUACAGUUAAGAAAAUGGGUGAGGCUCAGGUGAAUAGGAACCAGCAGAUGAACCAAACAGCAGCUCCUCAGGGAAGGAGGGGGCCUGCUGAGGCAGGGGCUAAGCCUGCUGGGAGUAAUAUUACAACUGGCGGUAACUACCAAGGUGGAGAUGCAAAUAGAGGUUAUGGAAGGGGUAACUGGAGAGGGAAUAAUCCUGGGAUGGGUAAUAGGGGGCCUGUUAAUCCUAUGAGGAAUCGAGGAGGUGGUAUGGGUGGUAGAGGUAUAAUGGGAAAUGGUGGGAAUGGAUUUGGACAGGGCAUGGGUGCUACACCUCCUAUGAUGCAUCCUCAGUCAAUGAUGAAUCAGGGUUUUGAUCCUGCAUUUGGUGGUCCCAUGGGUAGAAUGGGUACCUAUGGAGGCUUUCCUGGUGCUCCAACACCUCCAUUCUCUGGCAUUUUGCCUUCAUUCCCUGGUGUUGGAGGUGUUGGUUUGCCUGCACCCCAUGUUAAUCCUGCCUUUUUUGGAAGAGGGAUGCCUGUGAAUGGCAUGGGGAUGAUGCCUGGAGCUGGUAUGGAUGGACCUAAUAUGGGAAUGUGGUCUGAUCCCAAUAUGGGUGGAUGGGGUGGUGAAGAGCCUGGUGGCGGCAGGGCCGGAGAGUCAAGUUAUGGGGAGGAAGCUGCAUCGGAUCAUCAGUAUGGUGAGGCAAGUCAUGAUAGAAGUAACUGGCCUAAUUCUAUGAGGGAAAAAGAUAGAGGUUCGGAAAGGGACUGGUCUGGCACAUCUGAAAGGAGGUACAGGGAUGAUAGAGAUCAAGGAUAUGAGAGAGAUGCACCCAGAGAAAAAGAUGUGGGCCAUGAUCAUGAAUGGUCCGAAAGAAGGCAUCGUGAUGACAGGGACAUUGGUCGAGAAAGAUCUCGAGACCGUGAUAGGGAAAAGUCUAGAGACCGCGAUCGUGACCGUGAUCGUGACCGCGAAAGGGAUCGUGAACGAGAUCGUGAUCGUGACCGGUACAGGGAAGACAGGGACAAAUAUGCAGAUCAUCAUAGGUACCGUGAUCGUGAAGCAGAGCAUGAUGAUGAAUGGGAAAGGGGGCGGUCGUCGAGGACACACAGCAAAUCACGGUUAUCUCAAGAGGAGGAACAUCAUUCUAGGCCCAGAGAUGCUGAUUAUGGGAAGCGGAGGCGGAUGACCUCCGAGUAGUUCUAUAUGCUGCCUUAUUAUUUUUCCAUUGCAGAAGGAAAGAAUAGUAACUGAGAAGUAAUGGUUUGUCGUGCCUUUUCGGGAUUCUUCGGUUGUGCUCCUCUGGUCCAGAAGUUGUUGAGCAUCUGUUCCAUUUCAAUCACUUGUUCUGAUUGCUUCUUGUUAGGAGCAUGGCUUUGGUUAUCUUCGAGGAAGGAACAAAUGUGUUGAGAAAGGAAACUGGUCAUUCAAACUCUGGGUUGCUGUGGGGGAUCAACAAUCAAGCCUUCAAUAUUGCUCCUUUUUAUUACAAAGAGAAGUGGAACAUUUACUAUGAACUUUUUAGCUUUUGAUUUGAGUUUAUGUUUUAGUUAUUAGCACAUGAAAAGAAAAACCGAAGUUGUUGAUGUAAUGGGUUUAACUUGCUGAAGUCUGUAAUGUAGAAGACUGCUUAGAACUUAUGUUUGAUUGAUGUAUUAGGAUUUAGCACAGGAUGUUGCUAUUGUGCCCCGUUUCUGAUUGGCUCGCUGUUGUAUCAUUUUUUUUUCC